RNAcentral lists this small RNA (105 nucleotides) under Marmota monax (woodchuck). Lineage: Eukaryota; Metazoa; Chordata; Mammalia; Rodentia; Sciuridae. The record is from RNAcentral.
GCCAGGGGUGGUGAUGUACCUGUGAUCCCAGAGACUGGGAGGCUGAGGCAGGAGGAUUGCCAAGUUCAAGGCCAACAUGGGCAAUUUAGCAAGACCCUGUCUCAA